Molecule: ribosomal RNA, 270 nt
Filed under: uncultured archaeon
Lineage: Archaea
Description: partial 16S ribosomal RNA
Rfam family: Archaeal small subunit ribosomal RNA
Source: RNAcentral
CAGCACCUCAAGUGGUCAGGAUGAUUAUUGGGCCUAAAGCAUCCGUAGCCGGCGCUGUAAGUUUUCGGUUAAAUCUGUACGCUCAACGUACAGGCUGCCGGGAAUACUGCAGCGCUAGGGAGUGGGAGAGGUAGACGGUACUCGGUAGGAAGGGGUAAAAUCCUUUGAUCUAUUGAUGACCACCUGUGGCGAAGGCGGCCUACCAGAACACGUCCGACGGUGAGGGAUGAAAGCUGGGGGAGCAAACCGGAUUAGAGACCCGAGUAGUCC